AUUGAACGCUAGCGGCAUGCCUCACACAUGCAAGUCGAACGAGUGGCGGACGGGUGAGUAAUGUAUGGGAAACUGCAUGAUAGAGGGGGAUAACUAAUGGAAACGGUGGCUAAUACCGCAUAUAAUCGGAUGUGCCCUGAGGGGUUGAGCAAGUCGGGGGGGUAACGGCUCACAUAGGCGAGGAUCCCUACCUGGUCUGAAGGGAGGACCAGCCAGACUGGGACUGAGACAAGGGCCCUACGCCUACGGGAGGCAGCAGUGGGGAAUAUUGCGCAAUGGGCGAAAGCCUGAUGCAGCAAUCCCGCGUGUAUGAAGAAGGCCUUCGGGUUGUAAAGUACUUUCAGCAGAGAGGCGUUACCCGCAGAAGAAGCACCGGCUAACUCCGUGCCAGCAGCCGCGGUAAUAC
This 406-nucleotide ribosomal RNA is filed under the name uncultured bacterium. Its description in RNAcentral is "partial 16S ribosomal RNA". It matches the Rfam family "Bacterial small subunit ribosomal RNA", at positions 30 to 526 of the family's 1533-position model. The record is from RNAcentral.